This 490-nucleotide ribosomal RNA is filed under the name Salmonella enterica. RNAcentral describes it as "partial 23S ribosomal RNA". It matches the Rfam family "Bacterial large subunit ribosomal RNA", at positions 2250 to 2739 of the family's 2925-position model. The record is from RNAcentral. RNAcentral also lists the same sequence under 2 other names. Lineage: Bacteria; Pseudomonadati; Pseudomonadota; Gammaproteobacteria; Enterobacterales; Enterobacteriaceae.
GACAGUGUCUGGUGGGUAGUUUGACUGGGGCGGUCUCCUCCUAAAGAGUAACGGAGGAGCACGAAGGUUGGCUAAUCCUGGUCGGACAUCAGGAGGUUAGUGCAAUGGCAUAAGCCAGCUUGACUGCGAGCGUGACGGCGCGAGCAGGUGCGAAAGCAGGUCAUAGUGAUCCGGUGGUUCUGAAUGGAAGGGCCAUCGCUCAACGGAUAAAAGGUACUCCGGGGAUAACAGGCUGAUACCGCCCAAGAGUUCAUAUCGACGGCGGUGUUUGGCACCUCGAUGUCGGCUCAUCACAUCCUGGGGCUGAAGUAGGUCCCAAGGGUAUGGCUGUUCGCCAUUUAAAGUGGUACGCGAGCUGGGUUUAGAACGUCGUGAGACAGUUCGGUCCCUAUCUGCCGUGGGCGCUGGAGAACUGAGGGGGGCUGCUCCUAGUACGAGAGGACCGGAGUGGACGCAUCACUGGUGUUCGGGUUGUCAUGCCAAUGGCACU